This is an RNA transcript of Myotis brandtii (Brandt's bat), 2188 nucleotides long. It is a transcript of the gene named phosphatidylinositol-4-phosphate 5-kinase-like 1, with no coding region annotated. The transcript is spliced from 11 exons. NCBI's taxonomy places the organism in Eukaryota, Metazoa, Chordata, Mammalia, Chiroptera, Vespertilionidae. The record is from RefSeq and is a predicted model, not a curated record.
GCGGGAAUCCCUGUGGCUGUGCGGUCCUGGCCCCCUCCCCAGAAGCUGGAUGCAAAGCCAUCACCUCGCGUUCUGGCCGCCGGGGCCUGCUCUGGCGUCUACGAGACAAGCAGCUGCGCCUCGGCCUGUUUGAGAUCAGCCCGGGACAUGAGCUGCACCGGCUGACGUGUAUGAUGCAGGCAGGGCUCUGGGCUGCCACCCAGGUCUCCAUGGACCACCCACCCAGGGGGCUGCCCACUGAGGACGACUUCUCCGAGGUCCUGACCCAGGUUCACAAGGGCUUUGAGCUGGGCACCCUGGCUGGCCCUGCCUUCGCCUGGCUGCGCCACUCCCUAGGCCUGGCCGAGGAGGACUAUCAGGCCGCCCUGGGGCCCGGGGGCCCCUACCUGCAGUUCCUCAGCACCUCCAAGAGCAACGCCAGCUUCUUCCUGUCCCACGACCAGCGCUUCUUCCUGAAGACCCAGCGGCGCAGGGAGGUGCGGGCGCUGCUCGCCCACCUGCCCCGCUACCUGCAGCACCUGCAGCGGCACCCACACUCGCUCCUGGCACGGUUGCUGGGAGUGCACAGCCUGCGGGUGGCCCGGGGCAAGAAGAAAUACUUCAUCAUCAUGCAGAGCGUUUUCUACCCCGCCGGCCGCAUCGCCGAGAGGUAUGACAUCAAGGGCUGCGAGGUGAGCCGCUGGGUGGAGCCGGCCCCUGAGGGCAGCCCCCUGGUCUUGGUGCUGAAGGACCUCAACUUUCAGGGCAAGACCAUCGACCUGGGGCCCCAGCGGAGCUGGCUCCUCCGGCAGAUGGAGCUGGACACCGCCUUCCUCCGGGACCUCAACCUGCUGGACUACAGCCUCCUGAUGGCCUCCCAGCACCUGCAGGAGGACGAGAGGGGCCCGGGCAGCAGCCUCGUCUUCCGCACAGCCAGGUCUGUGCAAGGGGUACAGAGCCUGGAUGAGCCGGGAGCGCAGAACCUUCGGCUGCUGCCUGAUGGCCCCAACGCCCUUCACAUCUUGGACGGCCCGGAGCAACGCUAUUUCCUGGGCCUUGUGGACCUCGCCACCGUCUACGGGCUCCGCAAGCGACUGGAGUACCUGUGGAAGGCGCUGCGCUACCCCAACCGGGCCUUCUCCACCGUCAGCCCGGCUCUCUACGCCCGUCGCCUCUGCCAGUGGGUGGAGGCGCACACCGAGUGACCGGCGCGGGCCGCGCUCUCCCCAUCUGGACAAUGGGCACAGGCCCGGAAUGCAUGUGCCAGCUUGGUCGGGCUCCCCCAGCCUGCUGUUCCUCCAGCGGGCCUCCAGAGGGCAGCAUUCUCCAACUAAUAUGACAACCUUAUUUAAUGGUGAUGCUGUGCCUGGCUGGUAUUUUGCCAGGGACUCGCCAUAUUAGCUCAUUUUAUCCUCAAAAAAAAAAAAAAAUGCUAUUAUUCUCUUUUCACAGACCAUGAGAUGGAGGUUCAUGGGGUGAAGGGACUGAGCAAGAUCACUCAGCAGUAAAUGCUGGAACCAGGACUCGACUGUGCCUUUUGGACUCAGGAGCCUGUAUUCUUACCAGCUCCCACAGCCCUGUCCUCAUGCUCUCAGAAACGGGGGAGGCUGAAGGCUCCAGCCCAGGCCCUUUGUCGUACAGAUGGGGAAACCGAGGCCCAGAGAUUUUAAGGGGCGUAUGCACGGGAGACUCCAGCCGGCCUCUGACCUCAGUCCAAUCCGACCAUGCCCAAGCCGGCCUUUCCUCUAAUGCUGCUCUGGGGCCUGACUGUGUGACCAGGGCAAGGUGUUAACCUUCUCUGUGCCUCAGUGGUCUAAUCUGUGAGAUGGAAGGAUGAAAAUGGACCUCAUUAACGCAUUAAAUAUUUAUCAAGCACCUGCUAUGUGACAGGCUGGGCUUUGGGGAUGUGGGAGUGGAGCACAGAUUUCACCUUCACAGAACUCAGUCUGGGGUGGGGGUGGGAGGCGGUGACAAAAGCGGCCUGGUGUAACAAAGCCUUGUGAAGGACCAUGAGGCCAUGGAGCUCAGGGAAGGGGCCCCCACCUCAGUAGUUGAUGGGUGGGGUUGUUUCUAAUCUCUAAACUGAGAUCAGAAGAGUCAACUGUCAGGUGCUGGGAGGGUCGCAGGCUAAGGGCCCAGCAAAGGGCUGGGGUGAGAGAGUGCCUGACAUCCUAUGUAAUAAAAGGGUAAUAUGCAAAUUGACCAGGAA